GAUGAACGCUGGCGGCGUGCCUAAUACAUGCAAGUCGAGCGAACAGGUGAGGAGCUUGCUCCUCUGACGUUAGCGGCGGACGGGUGAGUAACACGUGGAUAACCUACCUAUAAGACUGGGAUAACUUCGGGAAACCGGAGCUAAUACCGGAUAAUAUAUUGAACCGCAUGGUUCAAUAGUGAAAGACGGUUUUGCUGUCACUUAUAGAUGGAUCCGCGCCGCAUUAGCUAGUUGGUAGGGUAACGGCUUACCAAGGCAACGAUGCGUAGCCGACCUGAGAGGGUGAUCGGCCACACUGGAACUGAGACACGGUCCAGACUCCUACGGGAGGCAGCAGUAGGGAAUCUUCCGCAAUGGGCGAAAGCCUGACGGAGCAACGCCGCGUGAGUGAUGAAGGUCUUCGGAUCGUAAAACUCUGUUAUUAGGGAAGAACAAAUGUGUAAGUAACUAUGCACGUCUUGACGGUACCUAAUCAGAAAGCCACGGCUAACUACGUG
RNAcentral lists this ribosomal RNA (497 nucleotides) under uncultured bacterium. RNAcentral's name for it is "partial 16S ribosomal RNA". It matches the Rfam family "Bacterial small subunit ribosomal RNA", at positions 28 to 507 of the family's 1533-position model. The record is from RNAcentral.